AAGCGUGCGCAGGCGGUUUUGUAAGUCAGAUGUGAAAUCCCCGAGCUCAACUUGGGAACUGCGUUUGAAACUACAAGACUAGAAUAUGUCAGAGGGGGGUAGAAUUCCACGUGUAGCAGUGAAAUGCGUAGAGAUGUGGAGGAAUACCAAUGGCGAAGGCAGCCCCCUGGGAUAAUAUUGACGCUCAUGCACGAAAGCGUGGGGAGCAAACAGGAUUAGAUACCCCGGUAGUCCACGCCCUAAACGAUGUCUACUAGUUGUUGGUGGAGUAAAAUCCAUGAGUAACGCAGCUAACGCGUGAAGUAGACCGCCUGGGGAGUACGGUCGCAAGAUUAAAACUCAAAUGAAUUGACGGGGGCCCGCACAAGCGGUGGAUUAUGUGGAUUAAUUCGAUGCAACGCGAAAAACCUUACCUGGCCUUGACAUGUAACGAACUUUCCAGAGAUGGAUUGGUGCUCGAAAGAGAGCGUUAACACAGGUGCUGCAUGGCCGUCGUCAGCUCGUGUCGUGAGAUGUUGGGUUAAGUCCCGCAACGAGCGCAACCCUUGUCAUUAGUUGCUACAUUUAGUUGGGCACUCUAAUGAGACUGCCGGUGACAAACCGGAGGAAGGUGGGGAUGACGUCAAGUCCUCAUGGCCCUUAUAGGUGGGGCUACACACGUCAUACAAUGGCUGGUACAAAGGGUUGCCAACCCGCGAGGGGGAGCUAAUCCCAUAAAGCUAGUCGUAGUCCGGAUCGCAGUCUGCAACUCGACUGCGUGAAGUCGGAAUCGCUAGUAAUCGUGGAUCAGAAUGUCACGGUGAAUACGUU
Molecule: ribosomal RNA, 810 nt
Filed under: uncultured bacterium
Lineage: Bacteria
Description: bacterial SSU rRNA
Rfam family: Bacterial small subunit ribosomal RNA
Source: RNAcentral